RNAcentral lists this long non-coding RNA (703 nucleotides) under Pongo abelii (Sumatran orangutan). Its description in RNAcentral is "lincRNA". Lineage: Eukaryota; Metazoa; Chordata; Mammalia; Primates; Hominidae. The record is from RNAcentral.
ACUUUCUUCAGGGCUAGCAGAUGAAGGCAGCAAGGAAAACACCACCACAAGACCGACUUUAGGCUGGAGCUGAUGAUGCCACACGGCAAGAAAAAAGGGGCUUCCUGGAGCUCCUGCAACCCCAGGCAUUAGUUCCAGUGCAGUUCUAGGAUCAGAUCAAUUCACUCGACAACAAGAGAAACAAAUGGAGAUUCCUACACAAAGACUUUCAAGCACAAAGAAAUCCUGCUGCCUAUAAAGCAGAGCUGCCUCAGCUCUUGAUGAACGACAGAAAAUACCACCUACUGCCAGACCUCUUCGCCUCACAAAACUCUCACCCACCUACUGCUUUUAGCUCAAAUUCCAGGAAUUCAGAUGAAGUGAAGUGCUCUCAUGGGGACCAGGCGUGGGUAUGCCAGUCCACUGCCCUGCAAGUCUCAAGGGAAACCAACUGCCCAUCAGCAAGUCACACCUGCCUUGGUGGAGGCAUUGAUUGGAAGGGCCACAGGCUACAUGUCCAGUCCUGAGUGGGAGAAUCGGUGUAGGGAUGUUCUGGGGAUGCUGGCUGUGGCUAGAUCAGGUCCAGCUACAGAAGAAUAAUGAAGACUUCACCUGAGGGCUGGAAAAACAAAACCUCAAGUGUGAGGCAGCCAACCUAUUACCUCGAGGGACUGUCCCGCAGCACAGCAGGGCCAUGGGAACAGCAGCAGACACCCCGGCCUCC